GACGAACGCUGGCGGCGUGCUUAACACAUGCAAGUCGAACGGAAAGGCCCCCUUGUGGGGUACUCGAGUGGCGAACGGGUGAGUAACACGUGAGUAACCUACCCUUGACUUUGGGAUAACUUCAGGAAACUGGGGCUAAUACCGGAUAGGAGCUCCUGCUGCAUGGUGGGGGUUGGAAAGUUUCGGCGGUUGGGGAUGGACUCGCGGCUUAUCAGCUUGUUGGUGGGGUAGUGGCUCACCAAGGCUUUGACGGGUAGCCGGCCUGAGAGGGUGACCGGCCACAUUGGGACUGAGAUACGGCCCAGACUCCUACGGGAGGCAUCAGUGGGGAAUAUUGCACAAUGGGCGGAAGCCUGAUGCAGCAACGCCGCGUGCGGGACGACGGCCUUCGGGUUGUAAACCGCUUUCGCCUGUGACGAAGCGUGAGUGACGGUAAUGGGUAAAGAAGCACCGGCUAACUACGUG
This 465-nucleotide ribosomal RNA is filed under the name uncultured bacterium. RNAcentral describes it as "partial 16S ribosomal RNA". It matches the Rfam family "Bacterial small subunit ribosomal RNA", at positions 28 to 507 of the family's 1533-position model. The record is from RNAcentral.